ACGAGGAAGAGGUGGUGGCGGUAGUGAGAUAGAGAGAGGGUGACGUGAAGGUGAAGAGAGAGAGAGGAGAGAGGGAUAGAAGUGAGUGGAUAUUUUUUAUUAUUUUAAAGUGAGGGUUAUUUCCGUCUUUUCAAUCAAAAAGUGGACAGUUUUUAUUAUUUUUAUCUUAGUGAACAAUUUUUAUCUUUACAAUAUGAAAGUGGAUAGUUUU
Molecule: long non-coding RNA, 211 nt
Filed under: Salvia miltiorrhiza (redroot sage)
Lineage: Eukaryota; Viridiplantae; Streptophyta; Magnoliopsida; Lamiales; Lamiaceae
Description: long non-coding RNA (SMIL_LNC003983)
Source: RNAcentral